RNAcentral lists this ribosomal RNA (440 nucleotides) under uncultured bacterium. RNAcentral describes it as "partial 16S ribosomal RNA". It matches the Rfam family "Bacterial small subunit ribosomal RNA", at positions 338 to 795 of the family's 1533-position model. The record is from RNAcentral.
CCUACGGGUGGCAGCAGUGGGGAAUAUUGCACAAUGGGGGAAACCCUGAUGCAGCGACGCCGCGUGAGUGAAGAAGUAUUUCGGUAUGUAAAGCUCUAUCAGCAGGGAAGAAAAUGACGGUACCUGAUUAAGAAGCCCCGGCUAACUACGUGCCAGCAGCCGCGGUAAUACGUAGGGGGCAAGCGUUAUCCGGAUUUAAUGGGUGUAAAGGUAGCGUAGACGGCAGCGCAAGUCUGAAGUGAAAGGCCCGGGCUUAACCCCGGAACUGCUUUGGAAACUGUGCAGCUAGAGUGCAGGAGAGGUAAGUGGAAGUCCUAGUGUAGCGGUGAAAUGCGUAGAUAUUAGGAGGAACACCAGUGGCGAAGGCGGCUUACUGGACUGUAACUGACGUUGAGGCUCGAAAGCGUGGGGAGCAAACAGGAUUAGAUACCCUAGUAGUC